RNAcentral lists this long non-coding RNA (202 nucleotides) under Mytilus galloprovincialis (Mediterranean mussel). The record is from RNAcentral. Lineage: Eukaryota; Metazoa; Mollusca; Bivalvia; Mytilida; Mytilidae.
GUAAUAGCAUUUCUAGAAUGUUUGAUUAAAUAUGAACAAGAACAUUAAGUAAAGAAAAGUAGUUGAUUAUUCAUCUGUACUUAUUUAUUUAACGACAUAAACAAAAUAAGUACGAAUAAACAUCUUGAGGAAGCAAAAGCACAUUUGAAAGAACCGAAAGACGUCUAGAUAAACUCAUAUAUCACUUCCCAUUAACCCUACC